Molecule: ribosomal RNA, 492 nt
Filed under: uncultured bacterium
Lineage: Bacteria
Description: partial 16S ribosomal RNA
Rfam family: Bacterial small subunit ribosomal RNA
Source: RNAcentral
AUUGAACGCUGGCGGCAUGCUUUACACAUGCAAGUCGAACGGUAACAGGCCUUCGGGUGCUGACGAGUGGCGAACGGGUGAGUAAUGCAUCGGAACGUACCCAGAGGUGGGGGAUAACGCAGCGAAAGCUGUGCUAAUACCGCAUGUGAUCUGAGGAUGAAAGCGGGGGACCGAGCAGCAAUGUUUGGCCUCGCGCCUUUGGAGCGGCCGAUGUCGGAUUAGCUAGUUGGUGGGGUAAAGGCCUACCAAGGCGACGAUCCGUAGCUGGUCUGAGAGGACGACCAGCGACACGGGGACUGGGACACGGCCCAGACUCCUGAGGGAGGCAGCAGUCGGGAAUUUGAGACAAUGGGGGCAAGCCUGAUCCAGCAAUGCCGCGUGCGGGAAGAAGGCCUUCGGGUUGUAAACCGCUUUUGGCAGGAACGAAACGGUGUCCGCUAAUACCGGGCGCUAAUGACGGUACCUGCAGAAUAAGCACCGGCUAACUACGUG